GCGGAUCAUACCAUUCAAAGAAUACAGGUGAUAGAACAGAACGAGGAGUACAAGUUAUGGCUACAAAGCAAGUGCACAAAAAGCAAGAUCAACAAGAGUUUUGGUGUUUGAGAGGUCCAUUCGAAGUCUAAUAACAGAUUCAAAGAGGCUGUCCUUGAACCUAUUGACUCAUCGCUUUACAACAGUCAAAGAAAGAAAGAAAGAAAGAAAGAAAGGUGGAGAGCCUGGAACAUUUUAAGAAGGAAUUCCAGAGUCUGCAAGGGUCUCUUUUAUUGUGACCAUGAAGGUGGCAAGGAAAGUCUGAAGCUGAGCCAG
This is a non-coding RNA of Chiloscyllium plagiosum (whitespotted bambooshark), 315 nucleotides long. Lineage: Eukaryota; Metazoa; Chordata; Chondrichthyes; Orectolobiformes; Hemiscylliidae. The record is from RefSeq and is a predicted model, not a curated record.